CCCUUAGAUGUUCUGGGCUGCACGCGCGCUACACUGUCGGAUUCAGCGAGUCAUAUCCCUAACCGAAAGGUUUGGGUAAUCUUUUGAAAGUCCGACGUGAUGGGGAUUGAUCAUUGCAAUUAUUGAUCAUGAACGAGGAAUUCCUAGUAAGCGCGAGUCAUCAGCUCGCGUUGAUUACGUCCCUGCCCUUUGUACACACCGCCCGUCGCUACUACCGAUUGAAUGGUUUAGUGAGAUCUUCGGAUUGGCGCCUACGCGGCUUCUCUGAGGCCACGCUGGAUGCCGAAAAGUUGCUCAAACUGUAUCAUUUAGAGGAAGUAAAAGUCGUAACA
RNAcentral lists this ribosomal RNA (332 nucleotides) under uncultured eukaryote. RNAcentral describes it as "partial 18S ribosomal RNA". It matches the Rfam family "Eukaryotic small subunit ribosomal RNA", at positions 1470 to 1796 of the family's 1831-position model. The record is from RNAcentral.